Molecule: long non-coding RNA, 251 nt
Filed under: Gallus gallus (chicken)
Lineage: Eukaryota; Metazoa; Chordata; Aves; Galliformes; Phasianidae
Source: RNAcentral
CUUUAUUUCGUUUUAAUAAUUAAGACAGUAAGAAAAAGUAAUUGAUCCUGAUUUGCUCUGUUAUCAGGUACUUCAGGCCAGCAGCCUGUAUUUAUCAGAUGAUUACCAUAUCUGAGGUACAAUGAAAAAUGUUUCAUGAAAACGUGCCAUAGAAUACUUGCAGAAAGUUCAGAAACUGGGAGGUCUUACUGCACAGCAAUACACAGAUGAGAGUUUAUUCAAAGGUUUCUCAGAUCCCCAUAUCAGCCACG